This 104-nucleotide ribosomal RNA is filed under the name Aotus nancymaae (Ma's night monkey). The record is from RNAcentral. Lineage: Eukaryota; Metazoa; Chordata; Mammalia; Primates; Aotidae.
CUGAAUGGCCAUACCACCCUGAACGCUCUAAUCUUGUCUGAUUUCAGAAGCAAAGCAGGGUCGGGCCUGGUUAGUACUUGGAUAGGAGAUUUAUGCUAUUUUCA